UAUUAGCCCCGAUUGCAACGGAAAUCCUUUUCUUUUUUUUCUUUAAAAAAAGAAAAGAUUGUAGUGAAAAGCGGGAUUAGCU
Molecule: small RNA, 82 nt
Filed under: Flavobacterium branchiophilum
Lineage: Bacteria; Pseudomonadati; Bacteroidota; Flavobacteriia; Flavobacteriales; Flavobacteriaceae
Description: Flavo-1 RNA
Rfam family: Flavo-1 RNA
Source: RNAcentral